AACGCGAAGAACCUUACCUGGGCUCGAAAUGCUGUGGACCAGCUUAUGAAAGUAGGCCUUCCCGCAAGGGACCGCAGUAUAGGUGCUGCAUGGCUGUCGUCAGCUCGUGUCGUGAGAUGUUGGGUUAAGUCCCGCAACGAGCGCAACCCUUGUCCUGUGUUGCCAUACCUUAAAAAGUGGAACUCGCAGGAGACCGCCAGGGAUAACCUGGAGGAAGGUGGGGAUGACGUCAAGUCCUCAUGGCCUUUAUGUCCAGGGCUACACACGUGCUACAAUGGUAGAUACAAAGGGUCGCGAAUCCGCAAGGUGGAGCCAAUCCCAUAAAGUCUAUCGUAGUCCGGAUCGGAGUCUGCAACUCGACUCCGUGAAGUCGGAAUCGCUAGUAAUCGUAGAUCAGCAUUGCUACGGUGAAUACGUUCCCGGCUUGUACACACCGCGCAUA
This 442-nucleotide ribosomal RNA is filed under the name uncultured bacterium. Its description in RNAcentral is "bacterial SSU rRNA". It matches the Rfam family "Bacterial small subunit ribosomal RNA", at positions 958 to 1398 of the family's 1533-position model. The record is from RNAcentral.